Molecule: ribosomal RNA, 543 nt
Filed under: uncultured bacterium
Lineage: Bacteria
Description: bacterial SSU rRNA
Rfam family: Bacterial small subunit ribosomal RNA
Source: RNAcentral
AUAGAUACCCCGGUAGUCCACGCCGUAAACGAUGAGUGCUAAGUGUUAGGGGGUUUCCGCCCCUUAGUGCUGCAGCUAACGCAUUAAGCACUCCGCCUGGGGAGUACGGUCGCAAGACUGAAACUCAAAGGAAUUGACGGGGGCCCGCACAAGCGGUGGAGCAUGUGGUUUAAUUCGAAGCAACGCGAAGAACCUUACCAGGUCUUGACAUCCCAUUGACCGCUAUGGAGACAUAGUUUUCCCUUCGGGGACAGUGGUGACAGGUGGUGCAUGGUUGUCGUCAGCUCGUGUCGUGAGAUGUUGGGUUAAGUCCCGCAACGAGCGCAACCCUUGAUCUUAGUUGCCAUCAUUUAGUUGGGCACUCUAAGGUGACUGCCGGUGACAAACCGGAGGAAGGUGGGGAUGACGUCAAAUCAUCAUGCCCCUUAUGACCUGGGCUACACACGUGCUACAAUGGACGGUACAAACGGUUGCCAACCCGCGAGGGGAGCUAAUCCGAUAAAACCGUUCUCAGUUCGGAUUGUAGGCUGCAACCCGCCUACA